UUUGAACAAUGUGUCAUUGGCUCCGGUGGGGAACAGCCACUGGAGGUAGUUACUGCACUACUGGGGAAAGCUCGGUGUAAGUCCGACACUGUCCCGCAACUGUGAAGGAGCAAUUCUCCCAGUCAGAAUGCCCGCCAAUGGUUCCCUUCGGUU
RNAcentral lists this non-coding RNA (153 nucleotides) under Cyanothece sp. Lineage: Bacteria; Bacillati; Cyanobacteriota; Cyanophyceae; Gomontiellales; Cyanothecaceae. The record is from RNAcentral.